ACUCACAAAAUAAGUUUUGUUGAGAUUAUUAUUUUUGUUUCCUUUCCUUCUAUUGCAAUGGUAUUUGAUUUUAUUGUUUAUUGAAUAGAAUACUAAUGAGAGAUUAUGGAAAAAAAACACUAUGAUGUACUUCAUCAAUUGGACACAGGGUGGCAGUAACCACGAACAGUGUUACACUGAGAUAAUUAGCGGUGCAGAGCAAAAUGAGCUCAUAAUCCGUGUUACUGGAGAAUGAGCAACAGUUGUCCUGCGUCACUGAUUUCUCAGGAAUAUUUCUGAUAUUUUCAGAUGCUGAACUGUUAUGUAACAGUCUUCGAUGAAAACCGAUUCCUGACCACAACCUGCUUAUGUUUACCUGGUCAACAUCCAUGAUGGUGUCUUCCAGAUUUGGGUCCUGAAACCUGUCUUCAAGGCCAUAUAUGGGGACCUGGUAAAAAGAAAGAAAAAAAACACCACUCAGUUCUGGAGUGAAAGAAUAAAAUUAUGCUUAUUCACUAAUAAAAUGUAAAGAAUUUUGACACAGGGAAUCUCAGGUAAAAAGUCAGAGUGCUGAACUGGGAAAAAACAUUCAUAGUGAAAACUGAUCCCAGAUCACAAUCUGAUUGUGGUUACCUCAACAUAAAUGAAGAUGUCUUGGUCCCCAAGGGCUCCCUGGGUAAAAAAACAACAACUGAGGUUUAAAAUAUAUUCAAAGAAAUUAUUAAAUGAUUAAAUUUAUACUUUUAAACACUCGUAAUUAUUACCGUUCAGAAACCAUUAUAAUUCCAUAAUAAAACCCUAAUAAUUAGCAGACAGGUUCCUAACCCUGGUCCUGGAUUAGCUAUUGUCCUGUACAUAGACAUUUCCCUGCUCUAACAUAUCUGAUUCAACGUAAAAAGGUGUGUAGGAGCAGGCAAAUCAAGUGCCUAAGACUAAGUUUGGGAGCCUGUGAAGCCUCUAUUGGUUAUAUGUGUAUUGAAAGAUAGAAAUAAACGUUUCUAUAAAUAAAUGGUACAGACUUUACUUCCAAACUCAGUUACUCUUUAGAAAGUUAAUGCAAUUCUACAGUUUUAAGCUUAAGAUUGGUAAACAUGUCUACUUUUAUAGCUUUUAUAAAACUGUAUUGUACUGCGAAUCUUAGACAAUGUACAGUAUACUGUAUACUGAAAAUGAUCUUGACAGAUUAAGCUAUGGGAUAUCAGAUUUAUAUUACUAAUACAUAAACUCUAUGAUACCAUUAUGGCCUAUUUUCAGGCUUAAUAAUCUUGGAGAUGAACACUAAACACCAAAGAUUAGCUGGCUGUAGGGCGUAGAGAUAAAAUCUUUAUUUGCAUUCGGACGAAUUUACAUGCAUAUUUACAUCUACCAUUCCAACAAGAGUCCAUUCUAUUUCUUUCUAGUAGACAAAAUUGACAGGAGUCUGAUGCUGUUGGUUUUUAUUUUACACACAAGGGAUUAUUGAACUUAUAUAUAUUUUCACCUACAGCACAGUAUCAAAAACUUACUACAAAUGGAUGUGUCCUGAGUUCCUUCAGCUGAAAGGAAGAGGACGCUCAGAGCUCAUAUCAGCUAAUUAGCUGAAACUACAUGAGUGAACAUUGUGGAUGACAGCAUUGUGGAUGACCCCAACACACCCCUCACACACCCUUCAGCCUCCUGCCAUGUGGAAAAAGGAACCGUAGCAUUCAGGCUCUCACAACCAGAUGAUGUGCGAUAGUUGCUUUCGUCAAGCCAUCAGACUCCUCAACAAAUAGAAAUGAACUAUACCACACACACACACACACACACACACACACACACACACACACACACACAGAGUCUGUAUCAGUUACAAUUGCUCUAGUUGUACUCACAAUGUACUUUAUAAUAUACAGUAUGCACCCUGAACUGGUCAGAGCUAUUCUGUCUUGCUCUGUUGCACUAGAUUGCACACAAUCUUCUUUAUGUGGCUGGGACUAAUGUCCUCUGUGUUGUUUAUGUAGCAUUAUACCAUUAUAUGUAGCACCAUGGUCCUGGAGAAACUUUGGCUCAUUUCACUAUUUGCUACAUCAGCUAAAUAUGGUUGAAAUGACAAUAAAAGCUUCUUGACUCUC
Molecule: long non-coding RNA, 2072 nt
Organism: Tachysurus fulvidraco (yellow catfish)
Lineage: Eukaryota; Metazoa; Chordata; Actinopteri; Siluriformes; Bagridae
Exons: 4
Source: RefSeq, a predicted model, not a curated record